RNAcentral lists this ribosomal RNA (468 nucleotides) under uncultured bacterium. RNAcentral describes it as "partial 16S ribosomal RNA". It matches the Rfam family "Bacterial small subunit ribosomal RNA", at positions 28 to 507 of the family's 1533-position model. The record is from RNAcentral.
GACGAACGCUGGCGGCGUGCUUAACACAUGCAAGUCGAACGGAAAGGCCCUGCUUUUGUGGGGUGCUCGAGUGGCGAACGGGUGAGUAACACGUGAGUAACCUGCCCUUGACUUUGGGAUAACUUCAGGAAACUGGGGCUAAUACCGGAUAGGAGCUCCUGCUGCAUGGUGGGGGUUGGAAAGUUUCGGCGGUUGGGGAUGGACUCGCGGCUUAUCAGCUUGUUGGUGGGGUAGUGGCUUACCAAGGCUUUGACGGGUAGCCGGCCUGGGAGGUGGACCGGCCACAUUGGGACUACGAGACGGACCAGACGCCUACGGGAGGCAGCAGUGGGGAAUAUUGCACAAUGGGCGGAAGCCUGAGGCAGCAGCGCCGCGUGCGGAAUGACGGCCUUCGGGUUGUAAACCGCUUUCGCCUGUGACGAAGCGUGAGUGACGGUAAUGGGUAAAGAAGCACCGGCUAACUACGUG